AUUACUGCAGCAGUGUAGAAAAUAAGAGCCCUGGGAGUUCAGGAAGGGGGUUGGUAGACACACGUGAGGUCUGCACAAGGUGUGUUGGAAACUGCCCUCCUGAUUCAAAGUUGGAUUUAAAGUUUUGCAAGACUAGAAACACAUAUUAUGAUGUGAACCUGUAUCCUAAUUUGCAGUUAGGUUCCAUCCCCAUAUGAUUCUGAAAAGUCUUGUGGAUACUCCAGAUAGGGUCUUGCGAUACCUUUCCAUGAUGGUUCUCUGUUUCUCAUGAAAAAACGUCUGUCCUACUCAUGGGAAAACUCAGAGGAGAUCAGAGAUCUGACAUGUAGUUUCACCAGGCACUGACCCAAGGAGAGGAAGCACUGAGGCAUCUCGUCUUUAGCAAAACACUUUGGAAGACUUCUACAGGGGAGAUCCUGAUCCUAUCCUGCCCCGAGGUGGUUUUCCUGAUGUCGCCCCUUCCCCCAGUGCUCACCUUUUCAGCGCCAGAGGACGCCCGGCAUUGAAAAGAAUGUGAUCUCUCCGAAUUUCUGGUUUGAAAACUGGAAAUGUGGACCUUAAAGUUACCAGUAGUGGCUUUUUGCCACCCCUGGUAAUUCGUUGGACGCUGCCCUUUGAGGCAAGUUUCUAAACUCACCGCAGCGCCCAUAAAAUAUGUUACUCCACCUGUUAUCUAUUAAGAUAACAUUUGAAUAGAUAUGCAAUUAACUCACCUGCUUUUUAUCAUUCACCUUUUAUUAAACUGUUCAAAAUAAACAUUAAAUAGGUAAACUAAUCAAUGAAAAAACUCCAAAAAAAACUCAAAAAGAAAAUUUUUUCAAAUGAAUCAAUUAAGUAAAAAAAUAAACAUAUACUAUACAUAAUUGAUUCUGUCAAUAAUUGCUUUACAUUCUUACCUAAUAUAUUGUUAUUUUUUCAGUUUAAUUUGAACCCACAAAGUUACAAAUCAGUUUGGAUCUUUAU
Molecule: long non-coding RNA, 963 nt
Organism: Xenopus laevis (African clawed frog)
Lineage: Eukaryota; Metazoa; Chordata; Amphibia; Anura; Pipidae
Exons: 4
Source: RefSeq, a predicted model, not a curated record